AUGAAACUGACAGCAUCUGCACAAAACAAAACAAAAAAACCCUCUUUUCCCUCUUUUCUAGGCAGCAGGAAUUAUGUGACAUCCUUGUGGCCUAUUCUGCAUAUAACCCUAGUACCUCAUGAAGCUUUCCUGGAGCACCAUCUGGGAGUUUCAGGAGCAACUGUCUCAGAGCUGGGCCCUGGAGGACAACGCAGUCCUCAGGAACCUUCAAACCUCCAUGAAGGAAUUCACAAGGAAACACUGGGACCUGCCACCCCCAGCUCCACACAGACCCGCAUGUCGGGGGUCCGUGUUUCCUGUGCUGCCAUUUUGAACACGGCUCCUGGGACUCUGUCACUUCUCCGUCUUCUGUGGACAGCCCUGGAACAAAAAGACAGACCCCACCCAGCGAGCCCACUGGGACCCCGACACCAGGCCCUGCCCUGGCUUAUAACAGAGAAGAGGCCGGUCAAGAGAUACCCCAGCAGCAAGGUGGCACCUGCCUGUGACUCCCCUCAGUAGAAGAAGAACUUGGAAUGGAAGGAGCCCAGGCAGUACCUGCCCAGCUGCCUUACAGCCCCAGAUGGCUGCUGGACCUUGGUUUUUACUGCUAUUUUAUUUUUAUUUUAUAUUUUUGGCUUGUGGGCCUUGAGAAAUCCCAUUCAAUGGGGGACUUGGUCCCAUCAAGGCCUCAGGAGGGAAGGCUGAGCAUGGGGUUCCCACAGCCCCAGCCAGCCAGCAGCGUGCCCUGGGGCCCCUGACUCCACCUGUGGGUCAGAGUCCCUCCCCCAGGGCCCAAGUCCCAGUCCAGAGGGACCUGGCUUCAACCCGAGUCCUAGGAGGAGAGGGGCACCGCAGGCCUCCAGGUGACCACACAAGAGACCAGGGCAUUGCAAGCCCUGAUGCUGUAAGGAUUAACAUCAGAGAACCUGGGUAAGCCAGGCCAGAGACGCUGAGCCCGUGCAGUGAUGAGGAUGUGGGGGGCUGGCUCAAGGGGGUCAACAGCUGUGAACACUGCUGCCUCUUCCCGACCUCAUUGCUGCAGUGCAGGCAGUCUGCAUCCCGGAGACUGGCCCACCAGCGCCCCAAGUGCCCUAGUCCGCUAUGCCAACGUGGCACCCAGAGACUUCGCAGCCCUGCCUGCCGCACCACCCCCCUCCUGGAAGCCUUGUCCUGCAGCCUAGUCCCUGUUACAGCCACAGCAGGCACCACUGCCAAGCGCCUUCCAGCCCGGCUUCCCAGAGGGCAGAGGCGCCCUGCAGUCAUUGCCUCAGCAGCUCACACUGUGAAGAUAGUUUCAUCUACAUUCCCAUGUUCCCACCAAAGAGAAUCGCUGCAGAGGAUGCUCUUGAUCCUGAGGUGGGGAAAACGGCACGCCAGGUGAAUGGAGUCAGCUCCUUUCCCCAGCCACCACAACUGCUGGAUGGACCCACGGACAAAGUGGCCAUCAGACAGGAAUGAGACACAAGAGGCUCAGCAUCCUGCUUGUACCCUGACCAGGAUGACCAGGCCGACACCACUGCCGAGUGCCCCAUCUGCUGAGAGACUUGGUGUCGAUCCCUGGGCUGGCACUGUUUCCCAGGAGGACCGGUUGGCCACCUGUGGGCAGGCUACCCACACUGUGGAGAGGGUUGAGAUCGGCUUUCACUGCAGAGAGCUCCUACCUGGACACAGACUCGCCGGCCCUGCCUGUUGCCAUCACAGCAGCCCACAGGGCAUUGCUUGCGACCAGGGUACCCCAUUCACAGUGAGGGACAUGGAGCCAUGGCCCCGAUCAGGGAACUAACUGUUCUCACUACGUCAGCCACCACCUGGAAACAUCGCUCAGUUACACUGAAGUGAUGGUUUGUCUUACAAGAUAAAUGUUAUGCUUUCUACUGGAAACCAGUAUACGGUGCUGACUCUCCGACAGCCAGACGGUGUAGUUCUGAGAGAGUGAAGGUGUGAAAGUAGGCGAUGUUCAGUAUUGCAUGGAAUGUCUCAGUCACAAAGUUUUCCUAUGCCUGUCCUGGAGAAAUGGAGCUUUGCUGGUUGGAAGGUCUGAGGACCCAGGCAGAGUGAAGCUUCCCCCAGGGGAACACAACAAUGGCUCUAUUUAAUAUGAGAAGACAGGACUAAGUCUGAAACCCAGGGUGUUCUCUGGUGUUCUUGGUGUUUUCAUGCAAAGAAAGUCAAAUAACAAAGGUUUGCCACAGAGGCAUCUGAAAAAGGAGGGGGCAGAACUAUUCAGAUCUCAGAGGCUUCAGAAUCGAAGAUGAGGCCAACCAGGAGACUCCUGACCUGCUGAGGGCAGGGAAAGUAUGUGGGGGUGGCUGGGAGACGAUGUCAUAGCGAUCUACCCCCACCUUGUGAUCUGUCAGAGAACCGUGCUCUUGAAUAGCUGUGUACAUCUUCUCUCCACUGAUUAUAGUAUUUCUUUCCAUUUGUGACUCUCCAAUCAAGCAAGGAGCUUGCUACAAAAUGCACUUUGCUAUACCAUAGCCUGGGUCUUGCAAUCCAAGGCUGGCAAGGAUUCCUGUAGGUCAAGGGCCUCAGGUGACUUUUGUGCACACCCAAGGACAGAGUCCUAGAUGACACCUUCCUGCUCUAAAAAGAAGGAACAAGCGUCAACGAACAGCGAGCCAGUCACGGAAAGGGGUGAAAUGUGAGUGCGUGACCUUCCUGACACCCAGACAAGACUUUGGGCAUGAGGGCAGGCUGCAGCUCUGGCCACUGACUCUGACCAGGGACGCCCCCAUGCAGGCCAGUGUGCCCUGGUUGCUCUUCUCCCUCCUGCCACCCUCUCCUCGGCUGUCUGUGUUGGGGAGGGAGAACCUGCCAGUUUUCAGAAGAAAAUGUAGCUUUAUUAUGACAUGGGAAAGACUCAAGUUAUUAGGGGAGGAGGAGGAGUCCUGAAACAGCUCCUGAAAAUGAGAGGGAAAAGAAAGGUGUAAAUAUGUUGGUAAUAAAGUCUCCAACCACAGCACAGUCAUGGGAAUGUUUUUGUUACAAUUUUUGUUUUCAAAGUUACAGUAAACAAAACAGUCUCCUGAAUUGUCAAAAGAACAGCAGUUUUACACAAUGAAAAGCAUACACACCAAGCCAAAAUAAGUCACACUUGGGUCUGUAUGUUGCAGUGGUGCUGGUGCAGGAGGGAACAUCCAGGGAGGUUCCAGUGCCUGCCAGGCAGCCCAGGUCCACUGAGGGCCCCGGGGCUGGAGGCAGGUCAUGUACCACUCGGCUCAAAGCGCUCCCUUCAAGCAUCUGAAGAGGGAAAGUCCAUUUAUCUUCUCUGAAAUGCAGGCAAUUUUUCAUACACUGGUGUGAAUGUGUUGGGGUCACCCAGGGGCUCCCUUAGUGGCCAGAUGCAGUUUGUCACAAACUGGUUUCCUGAAUUUCAUAUUGGAUCGGGAGCUAAAAGAAGAGAGAUUCCCAAACCCAUCAUGUCAAUAUUUGGUUCUAACAAAGUAAAAUCACAAGAGCACAUCAAACACAGGACCUAAUGCCCACGGCAGUGCCCAGGGCUGCUGUCCCUCUUGGGUGAGAAGUUCUUUAGCAGCAGGCACAGAGGUAAUUGCUUAGAAAGGCAAUGCCACAGUGAGUAAGGGAGAUUAACUUGGAUACAAACAUUUAGAAAGAUGCCUGAAGAAAACUAAUGUGGCUCCAUCUCUCUUCUGGAUUCUAAUGUUCCCAGAGCAGCAGCCACCCCUAAAUGCAAGUGGAGACAGGAUGGAAGCCCAGGGAGACAUGGGGGAGGCGGGGCUUGGCCAAACCACAGGCAGCUGCCAGAAAGGCCGACACACCUGCAUUCUGCACUCUGUGGUGGACACCCCAGGAAAGCAGGGGUGCCCCUGUAACUGCCAAACAGGUUCACCUUGUCCGCGGCCUAGACAGAGCCGAUUUAUUGAGACAGGGGAAUUGCAACAGAGAAAGAGUAAUUCAUGCAAAGCUGGCCGUAGGAGAGACCAGAGUUAUACUCCAAUCAGUCUCCAUUGGCAUGAUCCAUCAGCAUUCGGGGAUCAGAGUUUGGAAGGAUAAUUUGGUAGGUGGUGGGGAAGGCCAGUGAGUCGGGAGUGCUGAUUGCUUGGAUCAGACAUGAAAUCACAGGGAGUCAAAGCUGUCUUCUUGAGCUGAGUCAGUUCCUGGGUAAGAGCCACAAAAUCAGAUGAGGCAGUUUAUCAAUCUGGGUGGUGCCAGUUGAUCCAUCAAGAGCAAAUCUCUCAAGCACCGAUCUUAGGUUUUACAAUAGGGACGUAAUUCCCAGGAGCAAUUUGGGGAGGGGCAGAAUCUUGUAGCCUCCAGCUGCAUGAGUCCUAAACCAUAAUUUCUAAUCUUGUGGCUCAUUUGUUAGUCUUACAAAGGCCGUCUAGUCCCUAGGUGAGAAGGAGGUUUGUUUUGGGAAAGGGCUGUUAUCAUCUUUGUUUUAAAGUAUAAACUAUAAACUAAUAAAUGUGCUUUAUCAGUUAGGUGUGGUGGCUCACACCUGUAAUCCUAGCACUUUGGGAAGUCAAGAUAGGCAGAUAACUUGAGCCCAGGAGUUAGAGACCAGCCUGGGCAACAUGGAGACCCUGUCUCUACAAAAAAAUACAAAAAUUAGCCAGGCAUGGUGGUGUGGCGUAUGCUUGUAGUUCCAGCUACUCAGGAGGCUGAGGUGGGAGGAUCUUGAGCUCAGGAGGCG
RNAcentral lists this long non-coding RNA (4636 nucleotides) under Macaca nemestrina (pig-tailed macaque). RNAcentral describes it as "lncRNA (ENSMNEG00000046145.1)". Lineage: Eukaryota; Metazoa; Chordata; Mammalia; Primates; Cercopithecidae. The record is from RNAcentral.